RNAcentral lists this ribosomal RNA (320 nucleotides) under uncultured eukaryote. RNAcentral describes it as "partial 18S ribosomal RNA". It matches the Rfam family "Eukaryotic small subunit ribosomal RNA", at positions 1470 to 1796 of the family's 1831-position model. The record is from RNAcentral.
CCCUUAGAUGUUCUGGGCUGCACGCGUGCUACAAUGGCGCUUGCAACAAGUCUUGCCAACCCGAUAGGGUGAGCGGAUCUUUGAAGAGGCGUCGUGAUCGGGACAGUUGAUUGCAAUUAUUCGACUCGAACGAGGAAUUCCUUGUAAUCGCGAUUCAUCAUAUCGCGCUGAAUACGUCCCUGCCCUUUGUACACACCGCCCGUCGCUCCUACCGAUUGAGCGAUCCGGUGAAUGUUUUGGACUGGCGUCAGAAGCGGUUCGCUCCUGACACUACGAAAUUUUGUAAACCUUAUCGCUUAGAGGAAGGAAAAGACGUAACA